AUCUUAAUCCAACAUCGAGGUCGCAACCUAUCUUAUCGAUAAGAACUCUCCAAGAUAAUUACGCUGUUAUCCCUAAGGUAACUUAAUUUAUUAAUCUCUAGUAGAGGAUCAAUUAAACCAUAAAUCAAUGUAAUAACUAAAUGAAAGUUUUUUAAAUUUCAGUGUCACCCCAACAAAAUAAUAUAUUAUAUUUAUAAUAAAUACUAAUUCUAAAAAAUUAAAAAUAAAUAAUUAUAAAGAUCUAUAGGGUCUUCUCGUCUUUUAAUAAAAUUUUAGCUUUUUGACUAAAAAAUAAAAUUCUAAAUUAAUUAAUUAGAAACAGUCAAUACCUCGUCCAACCAUUCAUACAAGCCUUCAAUAAAAAGACUAAUGAUUAUGCUACCUUUGCACAGUUAAAAUACUGCGGCCUUUUAAUAUAAUAAUCNNUGGGCAGGCUAGACCUUAAAUUAACUUCUAAAGGAC
RNAcentral lists this ribosomal RNA (462 nucleotides) under Stichopogon trifasciatus. RNAcentral's name for it is "partial 16S ribosomal RNA". Lineage: Eukaryota; Metazoa; Arthropoda; Insecta; Diptera; Asilidae. The record is from RNAcentral.